This 453-nucleotide ribosomal RNA is filed under the name uncultured bacterium. RNAcentral describes it as "bacterial SSU rRNA". It matches the Rfam family "Bacterial small subunit ribosomal RNA", at positions 43 to 507 of the family's 1533-position model. The record is from RNAcentral.
CGUGCUUAACACAUGCAAGUCGAACGGUCGACCCAGGGGCUUGCCCUGGUGAUCAGUGGCGAACGGGUGAGUAACACGUGGGCAACCUGCCCCUGACUUCGGGAUAACUCCUCGAAAGAGGAGCUAAUACCGGAUACGACCACUUCGGACAUCCGAUGGUGGUGGAAAGUUUUUCGGUCAGGGAUGGGCCCGCGGCCUAUCAGCUAGCUGGUGGGGUAAUGGCCUACCAAGGCGACGACGGGUAGCCGGCCUGAGAGGGCGACCGGCCACACUGGGACUGAGACACGGCCCAGACUCCUACGGGAGGCAGCAGUGGGGAAUAUUGCGCAAUGGGCGAAAGCCUGACGCAGCGACGCCGCGUGAGGGAUGAAGGCCUUCGGGUUGUAAACCUCUUUCAGCAGGGACGAAGCGAAAGUGACGGUACCUGCAGAAGAAGCACCGGCUAACUACGUG